RNAcentral lists this ribosomal RNA (492 nucleotides) under uncultured bacterium. RNAcentral describes it as "bacterial SSU rRNA". It matches the Rfam family "Bacterial small subunit ribosomal RNA", at positions 28 to 507 of the family's 1533-position model. The record is from RNAcentral.
GAUGAACGCUAGCUACAGGCUUAACACAUGCAAGUCGAGGGGAAACGACAUUGGAAGCUUGCUUCCUUGGGCGUCGACCGGCGCACGGGUGAGUAACGCGUAUCCAACCUUCCCGCAAGUAAGGGAUAACCCGUAGAAAUGCGGCCUAAUACCUUAUGUUUUCCUUAGAUGGCAUCUGAUGAGGAACAAAGAUCCGUCGCUUGCGGAUGGGGAUGCGUCUGAUUAGUUAGUCGGCGGGGUAACGGCCCACCGAGACGACGAUCAGUAGGGGUUCUGAGAGGAAAGUCCCCCCACAUUGGAACUGAGACACGGUCCAAACUCCUACGGGAGGCAGCAGUGAGGAAUAUUGGUCAAUGGGCGAGAGCCUGAACCAGCCAAGUAGCGUGCAGGACGACGGCCCUAUGGGUUGUAAACUGCUUUUAUACGGGAAUAAAGUGGGCCACGCGUGGUCUUUUGCAUGUACCGUAUGAAUAAGGACCGGCUAAUUCCGUG